AUAGUAACAUAACAGAGGAGAUACCAUGAUCACAGGGUGGUUUUCCCAGGGAGAAGCUUAUCCAUUGUACUCUGAAUGUGCUGACUUCUGUGAUUUCCCCAAAUGUAGGACAUUUAACUGCAGAAUCUGUGGUAGUGGGGGACUGCAUUUGUGCUCUCUCCGG
Molecule: small nuclear RNA, 163 nt
Organism: Phodopus roborovskii (desert hamster)
Lineage: Eukaryota; Metazoa; Chordata; Mammalia; Rodentia; Cricetidae
Product: U1 spliceosomal RNA
Exons: 1
Source: RefSeq, a predicted model, not a curated record